RNAcentral lists this ribosomal RNA (267 nucleotides) under uncultured bacterium. RNAcentral's name for it is "partial 16S ribosomal RNA". It matches the Rfam family "Bacterial small subunit ribosomal RNA", at positions 57 to 305 of the family's 1533-position model. The record is from RNAcentral.
GCAAGUCGAACGGUAACAGGCAGUACGGAUCCCUUCGGGGUGAAGUUAGCGCUGACGAGUGGCGGACGGGUGAGCAAUGUGUAGGAAUUUACCUCAAAGUGGGGGAUAUCGCGGAGAAAUCCAGAUUAAUACCGCAUGUGCUCUACGGAGCAAAGCGGGCCUCUUCUUGGAAGCUCGCGCUUUGAGAUAAGCCUACGUCGGAUUAGCUUGUUGGUAGGGUAAAGGCCUACCAAGGCAACGAUCCGUAGCUGGUUUGAGAGGAUGAUC